UGCUUACAUGUAUGUUGUAAAAAAUGUCAACAAUAAAAAGUGAUAGCACAAGCCAUAUGAACAAUGAAGAGAAUAUUAGUAGAAUGAACUUUGAACAAUUUCAUUCACUAAAUAUGGGAAACGAUAAAAAUAGUUUUUUAAAAUACAAUGGAAAAGUAGGUAAUUCCAUGAGUAUUAAAUCAAGCAAUAGUAAUAUAUUUUCUUCCACCUUCAGUAAUACUAAAGUAAAUACUGAAGAAAACAGAACUAAAAUAAUAUAUAAACCGAAUAUUGAAGUAGUUAAAAAUAUUAAGGAAGUACCAAUUUAUAAUUAUCAAAAUAAAACUAAAAUUAUAGAAGUUCCAGAAGUGAAAUUUGUGGAUAAGUAUGAAUAUGAUACUCCUGAGAUUAUUGAAAAGUACAAAUAUGUACCAAAAGAAGUUAUUAAAUAUAAUAUUAUACAGAAACCAGUAAUAACAAAUAUACCAACAGAGAAAAAAAUAGGAGUUGUUCACACCCAGGAAAAAAUAAGUUAUAAUAGCCAAAAUAUUAUACAAGAUGGAAAUAAUUAUAUGAAUAAUGAUAAAAAUGGUAAUAAUGUACUUUAUAAAGAGCCUAACUGUAUUACACAGUGUUGUUUCCCAUCACAAAACGAGGAUAUGAAUGAACAUAUUAAUUAUUCUUUACAUGAAUAUACAAACAGUAAUAAUUACAAUGAACAUGUACAUAAUUUAAAUGACAAUAAUGACUAUGAUAAUAAUUACAAAGUGCAUGAUAAUAAUGACAACUUGUAUGAUAAUAAUUACAAAAUGUAUGAUAAUUAUGACAACGUGUAUGAUAAUAAUGACAAUGUGCAUAAUAAUAAUGAUGAUAACAUUUAUGGUAAUAAUGACAAUGUGCAUAAUAAUAAUGAUGAUAACAUUUAUGGUAAUAAUAGAAACUUUUAUGAGAUGAAUGGUAAUGUUUAUGAUAUAACUGGUAAUUCGUUACCAAAACUCAUGGAACCAUUUGGUCCACAAAUAGAAAUAGAAAAAAAUAAAAUGAUAGAAAAUGUGUUUGUGCCAAAAGUGGAAAAAGUUGUUGAAGUAGAAAAAAAAGUUAAUAUACCAAUAAAUUUACCAGUUCCAUACAUAGUCCCUAAACCUAAAAUAAUUAAUGUAGAUGUGCCUGUUUUUAAGUUUAAUGAUAAAUAUGUUCCUGUACCUGUUAAUAGAAAAAUCAUACCAAAAGUAAAAUGGAGUGAUAAAGUUUAUAAAGUAGA
Molecule: long non-coding RNA, 1240 nt
Filed under: Piliocolobus tephrosceles (Ugandan red Colobus)
Lineage: Eukaryota; Metazoa; Chordata; Mammalia; Primates; Cercopithecidae
Description: lncRNA (ENSPTEG00000010271.1)
Source: RNAcentral